Molecule: ribosomal RNA, 427 nt
Filed under: uncultured bacterium
Lineage: Bacteria
Description: partial 16S ribosomal RNA
Rfam family: Bacterial small subunit ribosomal RNA
Source: RNAcentral
UGGGGAAUAUUGGACAAUGGGCGAAAGCCUGAUCCAGCCAUGCCGCGUGUGUGAAGAAGGUCUUCGGAUUGUAAAGCACUUUAAGUUGGGAGGAAGGGCAUUAACCUAAUACGUUAGGGUUUUGACGUUACCGACAGAAUAAGAACCGGCUAACUCUGUGCCAGCAGCCGCGGUAAUACAGAGGGUGCAAGCGUUAAUCGGAAUUACUGGGCGUAAAGCGCGCGUAGGUGGUUUGUUAAGUUGGAUGUGAAAGCCCCGGGCUCAACCUGGGAACUGCAUCCAAAACUGGCAAGCUAGAGUACGGUAGAGGGUGGUGGAAUUUCCUGUGUAGCGGUGAAAUGCGUAGAUAUAGGAAGGAACACCAGUGGCGAAGGCGACCACCUGGACUGAUACUGACACUGAGGUGCGAAAGCGUGGGGAGCAAACA